GACGGAGGAUGCAAGUGUUAUCCGGAAUCACUGGGCGUAAAGCGUCUGUAGGUGGUUUAAAAAGUCUACUGUUAAAGCCUGAAGCUUAACUUCAAAAAUGCCGUAGAAACUUUUAAACUUGAGUAUGGUAGGGGUAGAGGGAAUUUCCAGUGGAGCGGUGAAAUGCGUAGAUCUUGGAAAGACCACCAAUGGCGAAGGCACUCUACUGGGCCAUUACUGACACUAAGAGACGAAAGCUAGGGGAGCAAAUGGG
This 253-nucleotide ribosomal RNA is filed under the name uncultured bacterium. Its description in RNAcentral is "partial 16S ribosomal RNA". It matches the Rfam family "Bacterial small subunit ribosomal RNA", at positions 524 to 776 of the family's 1533-position model. The record is from RNAcentral.